Molecule: ribosomal RNA, 349 nt
Filed under: uncultured bacterium
Lineage: Bacteria
Description: partial 16S ribosomal RNA
Rfam family: Bacterial small subunit ribosomal RNA
Source: RNAcentral
CCUACGGGUGGCAGCAGUGGGGAAUAGUGCACAAUGGGGGAAACCCUGAUGCAGCGACGCCGCGUGAGUGAAGAAGUAAUUCGUUAUGUAAAGCUCUAACAGCAGGGAAGAAAAGGACGGUACCUGAGGAAGAAGCCCCGGCUAACGACGUGACAGCAGCAGCGGUAAGACGUAGGGGGCAAGCGUGCUCCGGCUUUACUGGGUGUAAAGGGAGCGGAGACGGCCGGGCAAGUCUGGAGGGAAAGGCGGGGGCUCAACCCCCGGACUGCUCUUGAAACGGGACGGCUGGAGUGCAGGAGCGGUAAGUGGCAUUCCUUGUGUAGCGGUGACAUGCGUAGCUCUUAGGAGG